GACGAACGCUGGCGGCGUGCUUAACACAUGCAGGUCGAACGGAAAGGCCCUGCUUUUGUGGGGUGCUCGAGUGGCGAACGGGUGAGUAACACGUGAGUAACCUGCCCUUGACUUUGGGAUAACUUCAGGAAACUGGGGCUAAUACCGGAUAGGAGCUCCUGCUGCAUGGUGGGGGUUGGAAAGUUUCGGCGGUUGGGGAUGGACUCGCGGCUUAUCAGCUUGUUGGUGGGGUAGUGGCUUACCAAGGCUUUGACGGGUAGCCGGCCUGAGAGGGUGACCGGCCACAUUGGGACUGAAAUACGGCCCAGACUCCUACGGGAGGCAGCAGUGGGGAAUAUUGCACAAUGGGCGGAAGCCUGAUGCAGCAACGCCGCGUGCGGGAUGACGGCCUUCGGGUUGUAAACCGCUUUCGCCUGUGACGAAGCGUGAGUGACGGUAAUGGGUAAAGAAGCACCGGCUAACUACGUG
Molecule: ribosomal RNA, 468 nt
Filed under: uncultured bacterium
Lineage: Bacteria
Description: partial 16S ribosomal RNA
Rfam family: Bacterial small subunit ribosomal RNA
Source: RNAcentral